CACCACAAGAAAUUUAGUCAUACAAUAUUAAUCAAGUAUGAAUUUCUACACUAGACUCUUCAUGUUAAAACAAGAGUUGAGAUUCUUCAUAUUACAACUACAAUCCAAUUUGUCAAGGACAACAAUUAUGUAGGAAAAAUAAAGGACAUGUCAUUGGUUUAGUUAAUAAGCCAGUUUGAAACUUGAAAUGCAAUAAAUCCAACUUCAAGUCGUACCUGUACAACAAAACUAAACACAAACCACAAUAUCUUUUUUCUUUUUUGAGAAAGAUGCAAAGGGCAUCAGUUCAUUAGAAUAAACCAAAAAAGAAGUACAAGAUAGAAAAGGGGGACUACGCUAAAACCUUUUCAAAAGGUGUUAAAUCUAAAAUUGGACAUUCCCAACCUAUUCCUAUGUACUCCCCCCUAGUAAGAUCAGGGAUAUCAUCAGACCAAAACAAAAUAGAAGAAGCUAAAGAAAGACCAAUGUUAGCAAUACUAUCAGCACAUGUGUUCCCUUCCCUGUAAAUAUGAGAGGCAAAAAAUCUCAUUGUUCUAAUUCUAGAAGGCAGUUUUUCCACCUGUUACUAAGGCACCAAGGUAUCCCCGAGUUGGAUCUAAAGGCUAAAAUCACCAACUGGGAGUCUGAUUCCAACCAAAGAUUUGUGAAUCCUUUUGAUGAAGCAAUCUCAAUGGCAGUCAUGGCAGCUACUAGUUCAGCAUGAAGAGCAUUGACACUUCCAAGAAACUGAGUGAAGCAACCAAUACAAUUACCCUCUGAGUCUCUAAAUAUUCCCCCGGCAGAAGCUUUGCAAGGAUUCUUUGUAGAGGCUCCAUCAGUGUUGACCUUGAUCCAAGAGUUGAUUGGAGGGGAUCAUAAAACUUCCUUGAUGUUUGGAGCCCUUGGAGGCUUGACAUUCACUUUACAGGCUUUUAAUAUUGUAAAUUCAAGCAUAUCACCUGCAGCUGCUUUGUUAUUAUUGUUGCCAGACAAAGCGACCUUUGCAAUUAUUUCAUUAACGACUGAUUUCCAAAAACUCUUCUUAUCUUUGAACCUUGCUUGGUUUCUGUUAAACCAAAUCGUGUUGAUGAGAUUAAUCAAGCAAGAUUGAAUAACAACUUUACAUUGAGGAGACCACCUUCUAUCUAAAAUUUUCAAAAUGUUAGAGCAAGAUGUAAGAGGAAUGGCCAUGUGCAGGAUUGAAGCUAACCAGUUCCAUAACUUCAGAGCAAAAGGGCAUUCGAAGAACAAAUGGUUGGAAGAUUCCGGUUGUGAGUUACAUGAAGAACACAUUGAGGCUAGUGAAGCGCCCCUAAGCAUUAGAUUCUCAUCAGUGGGAGCUUUGUUGUGUAGAAGUCUCCAAACAAAGAGUGACUUAGAAGGAGGGAUGUCCGGACUCCAAACAUACUUGGCCCAUUGAAUAUUUUGACCUAUUCCAUAUUUGAAAGAAAAUGAGUCUUUGAAAGAUAAUUCACCUGUACUGCUGUGUUUCCAAACCAUUCUAUCUUGUCUAUCCUCCAAAGGAAGAAUUGCUUGAGAGAUAAGCUGCCUAAUAGUUGGGAAAACAUCAAAAAAAUCAUGUGGGAACCGCCAGUCAAAGUUAUCUAAAAAGUCGCAAACCAUAGCAUUGAGGUUAGAGUGAAAGUGCGGAGGGAAAUCGAGAUAUUUAGCAAUAGAUUCUCCACACCAAUUGUCCAGCCAAAAGUUAAUAUUUGUUCCUGAACCAAUGAUCCAAUUGCAAUUAUCCUGAAUGAUACUAAAUUCUGAUUUGAAACUGCUCCACAGAGAAGAGUAAAUGUGGUGAGAAAUUGCUCUUCUGCCUCUCAAGACCUUGCUUCUCAACAAUCUAGCCCAAUCUUCGGAUGAAUUGAUAAAAUCCCAACACAAUUUUAGAUUAGCCGACUCAUUUAGAGUGCAAAGAGAUCUGAUACCUAACCCACCUUCCAAUAUUGGUUUACAAGUUUUUCUCCAAGAUACUGUCACCAGCUUCCUUUUGGCUACAUCACCACUCCAAAUAAAAUUUCUAAUCCAAGUUUCCAUCUCCUUCAAUAAUUGUUUUGGCCAAGAAUAAAUGGAGAUGGAAUGAAUUAGCAUGCCUUGGAUAACACUCUUUACAAGGAUAACUCUACCAGCCAUACUUAACAGAGAGGCUUUCCAAGCUGAGAGUUUGAUCUUUAUCUUGUCUGCAAUAGGUUGCAGGUGGGAUUUCUUAGGCUUCCCUUUAAAAAUAGGAACCCCUAAAUAAACAAAAGGAAGAGAGCCUUUGUUAAAACCAAUAAAUUGAGAGAUAUGAUCAAUCCUGGUAGUGGAGAUAGAACCAUAAUAGACAGUUGACUUAGCAGGGUUGAUUAUCUGGCCAGAUGCAAGAGCAUAUGCGUUGAAAAGAUCCAUAAGAGCUUGAAUUGAAGAUACUCUACCCUUACAAAAAAUCAUAAUGUCAUCUGCAUAGAGCGAAUGUGAAGGUACGUUGACUGAUCUAGAGCCUCUGAUGAGAUCCAAUUUGCCUUGCUCCACCAGUUUGGUAAUGUUUCUGCUUAAAACAUCUUCAGCCAUGCAGAACAAUAACGGUGAAAGAGGGUCACCCUGCCUCACUCCCCUUUUGCACUUAAAGUAGCCAUUUUGUUUACCAUUCACAUAAAUAGAUAGAGUAGCAGAGUUUAGAAUAGUUUGAAUCCAUGAGCAAAAUUGCUGGUUGAAACCAAAUUUGUUCAAUACAUUGAGAAGGAACUUCCAUUCUAGGGUAUCAAAAGCUUUAGAAAUAUCUACCUUGAAAGCCAAGUUACCUGCAAAAGCUUUAUGAUGAAGAUGGUUAAUAGCUUCAGAAGUGACACAAAUACAAUCUCUAAUAUUCCUUCCUUGGAUAAAACCUCUUUGUUCCGGGGAAAUGAGAUUCUUCAUUAAAGGAGCUAGUCUAUCCGCUAAUAUUUUAGAAAUAAUCUUGAAUUUGAAAUUAGCUAAGGCUAUUGGUCUAUAUUGUCCCACAGAUAACGCAUCAGGGACCUUGGGAAUAAGAACAAUUGUGUUAGCGUUAUAGUUUGGUAGGAUCCAAUCUCUCUUGAAAAAUUUUAAAACUGCAUUAGUGACAUCCAAUUUGAUUAUGUCCCAGAAGGAUUGAUAAAAAACUGCCCCAAAGCCGUCGGGGCCAGGUGCCCCAUCCUUGUUCAUAUCCAUCACUACUUUGUGAAUCUCUAAUUGAGUAGGAAGCCUGGUGAGUAACUGAUUCAUCUCCUCAUUUAUCAUGUUGGGAAUUGUUCCAUCUAAUAGCUCCUGAACCUGCAAAUCCUGCACAGAAAAAUUAGUUGAAAAAAUAUUUUUGAAGUGGUUUGUAAUGUGACUUGAUAUUAAAUUUGGCUCAGUAAUCAUGUUAUCCCCAUCCUUAAUGGAAGUGAUGAGUUUAGAGGUGUUUUUGAUUUUGGUUAGUCUUUGGAAGUAUCGAGUGUUUCUGUCCCCAUUAGCAUGCCAAGCUACCUUAGAUUUUUCUCUCCAAAAAUCUUCCUCUUUAUCCAAGGCUAACUCUAAAUCAACUUGUGCAGCUUUCUGUUGUUCAAAUAAAGAAUCACUAUUUCCGAGCACAUCAAUGUCAUUCUAAGUAAUAAAGAAACCACAAUAUCAAUUAGAAUUGCUAACAGAGAAAAAAUAUCAAAGAAAAAUAAAAUCAUUCUAAGUAAUAAUGUAACAAAGAGCAUUGAUUUUCUUCAUUCUUUGUUCAUAUAUCGUUUCUAGCGUUUUCAAUAUGAUUGAUUAUGCUCACAAAUAAUACUCUCUUAAAAGAUUGUGUUCUUAUAUCUACUAAAGUCAUGAAAGUAUCAUGCAACUUUUUUCCUGGUAACCUUACUAAUGAUGAUAGCAAGUUCAUGCAUUACUUUCUCAAAGAAUAAUUAUACACUGAUCAAAUCUUAUUAGGUUGCUAGUUCAAAUUUAUUGAAGUGAAGGGAUUAAUUACUAGUGAUAUGCCCAAAAAAAGUAUUACAUUAUAAAUGAAAUCAUAUACCAAAAUAAUGAAAGAUUACUAAAAUUUUGUUCCAAAUCCUCAUUUUCACAUUCAAUUGGAUCAUGAACUUAAACUUACUACUUUGCUCCACCAAUCUCCUUUGCGAUUCCAACAGAUCUAUUGUGUGGAGGUGGGAAUCUCUUUUCCUCUCCAUGGUUGUGCUCAGAUAUGUAGAGAUGACACCAUCGGCUGAUCUCGACUACUCAUUUGAGAAAAUUGGCAAUGGUUAGAGAAUUCUACUUCAAAUGAAGAGUGUCACUUAUCCAUAAAGAAUCAUCAACAAUACUGUCUGGAAAAUAAUUUAAGCAGGUUUGUAUUCAAAGAAAAACUCAUGUUUGUUAAGCUUCAAUACUGUCCAUUGUUGUGGUGGAAAAACAAAGAUGCAUAAUUCGUAGGCUGUUUUAAGAUUUCUAGUGUAAUGAGGGCAAUAGAAUUUGCAAAAGCUAAAAAUUGGAACAAUCUUUGGUUAUUUUGCUUUCAAAUCAUCUGAGUGGUGCCUUGGUAGUUAAGAAAAAAUGGCCUAAUUGUCUUACUUUAAUUUCUAGCAAGAAUUUCUUAGUGACACAUAUUUACAAAGAGGGUAGCACUUAUGGUGAUGAUUUAGCCACUAUUGGCUUGUCCUUGAUCUCUUUUGUUUACUUUUUUUCUAUUCCUUUAGAAGCUAUGAGUGAUUACAUUAAAAAUUAAAAAUAGACUUGGUUGGCCUAAUUUUAGGUUAACUCACACUUGAGAAGGUUUUGGA
This 4712-nucleotide long non-coding RNA is filed under the name Medicago truncatula (barrel medic). RNAcentral describes it as "long non-coding RNA (MTRU_LNC006177)". Lineage: Eukaryota; Viridiplantae; Streptophyta; Magnoliopsida; Fabales; Fabaceae. The record is from RNAcentral.